CAGUAGCCACGGGAAUACGGAGGGUGCAAGCGUUAAUCGGAAUUACUGGGCGUAAAGCGCACGCAGGCGGUCUGACAAGUCAGAUGUGAAAUCCCCGGGCUUAACCUGGGAACUGCAUUUGAAACUGUCAGGCUGGAGUCUUGUAGAGGGGGGUAGAAUUCCAGGUGUAGCGGUGAAAUGCGUAGAGAUCUGGAGGAAUACCGGUGGCGAAGGCGGCCCCCUGGACAAAGACUGACGCUCAGGUGCGAAAGCGUGGGGAGCAAACAGGAUUAGAUACCCCGGUAGUCCCUGUCUCUUAUAC
RNAcentral lists this ribosomal RNA (301 nucleotides) under uncultured bacterium. Its description in RNAcentral is "partial 16S ribosomal RNA". It matches the Rfam family "Bacterial small subunit ribosomal RNA", at positions 509 to 807 of the family's 1533-position model. The record is from RNAcentral.